This is a long non-coding RNA of Physeter macrocephalus (sperm whale), 1118 nucleotides long. RefSeq lists it as uncharacterized. The record is from RefSeq and is a predicted model, not a curated record. The transcript has 3 exons. NCBI's taxonomy places the organism in Eukaryota, Metazoa, Chordata, Mammalia, Artiodactyla, Physeteridae.
CGGCGUCCGGCCGCGCUCACCGCCGCACCCUCUCGGCGUGGGGACUCGGGGCGCCGUGACUCAGGCCGGAGGAGGGGCGCGCAGUCACCCGAGGCGCCCCGAGCUCAGCCGCCAGGUGCCCGGGACCCAGGGGCCGGCCUAGGGUCUCUCCUUAGGCCCCAAACGUCCGCCGCUUCACCAGCUACCCCGCAGCUCCGCUUCGCUUCUUUACGCUUGAAGACGGAAGCCGGCCCCUUAUCUCUGCCAAUUUGUAGGCCGCAGGGGUUCCGAAUAACAUCUGGGCCCUUCACCUCUUGAAUUUAAAUCCCACCUGCCGUGCCCAACCACCAGAUCAAGUGGAAUGUAAGGGAUGAUGAUGGUGACCUUUUCUGACCCUCGACUUCAAUCAGCUAAAGUUUGGACUCUGCCUACUGCCCAAGCCCCUUCAUGAAUAUGCAGAACACAGGCUCCGGACGCGCAGGCUCAACGGCCACGGCUCACGGGCCCAGCCGCUCCGCGGCACGUGGGAUCCUCCCGGACCGGGGCACGAACCCGCGUCCCCUGCAUCGGCAGGCGGACUCUCGACCACUGCGCCACCAGGGAAGUCCCAACACUAACAGUUUCUGAAAGCUCAAUGCCUCAUCCCUAAGAUGACCCCAACCCCCCUUAAGUGCCUGCCUGAGAAAGCAGCAAGGCUGCCCAAAGAAUUUACUGUUUGUUAUAGCCAACACCUGACAUGGGCCCCUGACUGCUGUUUCUUAGGGCAUUUACUAAAAAGGGCUUACAGCUGUGAAUUCUUUCUCUGAACCCUUGAGAUGUGUUUGUAUCUCUUACAACCCAGGAGUGCCUUUCUCAAGGACUUGACGCCAUUCCUUUGAAAUACAAUCAUCAGGAAGGACAGGGCUUCUGUCUCCUGGUCUCCGUGGGAAGAUAACUGCCAGCCAGCAGAUGGAGACAUGGCAUUUACAUCCACUUUUUGUGAUUUUGCACUUCUCAGCCUUAGAGCACAGGGAGAUCAGCUCGGUGCUGUGUGACCACCUAGAGGGGUGGGAUAGGGAGGCUGGGAGGGAGACGCAAGAGGGAGGAGAUAUGGAGAUGUAUGUAUAUGUAUAGCUGAUUCACUUUGUUAUACAGCAGAA